UCCCACGCCGCUGUGCUGACGCGGGCUGCCACGGGCUGCCGCGCCGCCAAGUUCAAGGAUGCCGAGCGGAGCAGAGCGCAGUGCGCUCUGAGCGCCGCGUUCAGCCGAGCCGUGCAUUUGCCGGCCGAGCCGGGCCGGGGUUGGCGUUGGCUGCGCCGGCCGGCUGUACAGGUGAGUGAACGCCGAACAGCCGCCAGGCCCGCCGCCGGCUCAGUGCUGUACGCGGACAGCGCCGGCGCGGCCAUGGUGCUCUCCAUCCUGUACGUGCUCGUCGUGUGGGUGUCCCUCGAGGUUGUCCUGCUCUUCUCGUCGCCGCUGUUCCUGAUGCAGUACUACUACAGCCCGUACCUGUCCAUGUACCAGCGGUGGUGAGCGGAAGCCGGGGAGGCUGCUCUCUGGGACCGAGACGGCGGCAGUGGCGCCCAGAGGUUCGGAGAAAUGACGAUCACUAGAGCGAGAACUUGGAGGGUCGCUCGGUACACGUAGCAAGUGUGUAUCGAUGUCCGCUGUAAAUACUGUUACUUUUUUCCACUUCUUUUAAGAAUACAACAUUAAAAUUCCA
Molecule: long non-coding RNA, 562 nt
Organism: Frankliniella occidentalis (western flower thrips)
Lineage: Eukaryota; Metazoa; Arthropoda; Insecta; Thysanoptera; Thripidae
Exons: 2
Source: RefSeq, a predicted model, not a curated record